Molecule: ribosomal RNA, 800 nt
Filed under: Chytridiomycota sp. LLSF2_1 PML-2011a
Lineage: Eukaryota; Fungi; Chytridiomycota
Description: eukaryotic LSU rRNA
Rfam family: Eukaryotic large subunit ribosomal RNA
Source: RNAcentral
GCUCAAUUUUGAAAUCUCUCAGGUUCCCUGAGCGAAUUGUAGUUUCUAGAAGCACUUUCGGGGGCGGUCCGGGUAAAAGUCCGUUGGAACGCGGCAUCAUGGAGGGUGAGAAUCCCGUACUUGAUCCGGUAUCCGCUCCUGUGUGAUGUGUUUUCAAAGAGUCGGAUAGUUUGGGAUUGCUGUCCAAAAUGGGUGGUAAAUACCAUCUAAAGCUAAAUAUUGGCGAGAGACCGAUAGCGAACAAGUACCGUGAGGGAAAGAUGAAAAGAACUUUGAAAAGAGAGUUAAACAGUACGUGAAAUUGUCAAAAGGGAAACGCUUGAAACCAGUAUUGCUGUGCGCAAAUCAGUCGCUCCUUAGGGCGGUGCACUUUGCGUAUGGCGGGUCAGCAUCAGUUUCGUUCGGAGUAAAAAGCCGCAGGAAGGUACCCCCUCGGGGUAUUAUAGCCUGCGGUCAUGCUUUGGACGGGACUGAGGUCUGCAGCCCUGCUUUUGGGAUGCUGGCAGCCCUCGGACGUGUUGCAACGGACAGCUUGCUGAUCGCUGUAACAACCAAGAGGCUCUGUCGGCUAACACAACUGGGCUUAGGAUGCUGACGAAAUGGUUUUAAACGACCCGUCUUGAAACACGGACCAAGGAGUCCAACAAUUAUGCGAGUGUNUGGGUGGCAAACCCGAGCGCGUAAUGAAAGUAAAUGCAGGAGCGAUCCGCAAGGAGCAGCUUCGACCGGUCUGGAUUUUUUUGAAAGAUCUGAGUAAGAGCAUAAUUGCUGGGNCCCGAAAGAUGGUGAACUAUGCCUGA